This 541-nucleotide ribosomal RNA is filed under the name uncultured bacterium. RNAcentral's name for it is "partial 16S ribosomal RNA". It matches the Rfam family "Bacterial small subunit ribosomal RNA", at positions 356 to 911 of the family's 1533-position model. The record is from RNAcentral.
GGGGAAUAUUGCACAAUGGGCGAAAGCCUGAUGCAGCAACGCCGCGUGAGUGAUGAAGGUCUUCGGAUUGUAAAGCUCUGUCUUUUGGGACGAUAAUGACGGUACCAAAGGAGGAAGCCACGGCUAACUACGUGCCAGCAGCCGCGGUAAUACGUAGGUGGCGAGCGUUGUCCGGAUUUACUGGGCGUAAAGGGUGCGUAGGCGGAUGUUUAAGUGAGAUGUGAAAUACCCGGGCUUAACUUGGGUGCUGCAUUUCAAACUGGAUAUCUAGAGUGCAGGAGAGGAGAAUGGAAUUCCUAGUGUAGCGGUGAAAUGCGUAGAGAUUAGGAAGAACACCAGUGGCGAAGGCGAUUCUCUGGACUGUAACUGACGCUGAGGCACGAAAGCGUGGGUAGCAAACAGGAUUAGAUACCCUGGUAGUCCACGCCGUAAACGAUGAGUACUAGGUGUAGGAGGUAUCGACCCCUUCUGUGCCGCAGUAAACACAUUAAGUACUCCGCCUGGGAAGUACGAUCGCAAGAUUAAAACUCUAAAGUGAAUU